This 127-nucleotide small RNA is filed under the name Marmota monax (woodchuck). Lineage: Eukaryota; Metazoa; Chordata; Mammalia; Rodentia; Sciuridae. The record is from RNAcentral.
GCUGGGUGAGGUGGCGCAUGCCUGUAAUCCUAGUGGCUUGGGAGGCUGAGGCAGGAGGAUGGCAUGUUCAAAGACAGCCUCAGAAACUUAGUGAGGUCCUAAGCAAUUCAGCAAGACUCUGUCUCCA